Long non-coding RNA from Polyodon spathula (Mississippi paddlefish), 1870 nucleotides. RefSeq lists it as uncharacterized. The transcript has 5 exons. Lineage: Eukaryota; Metazoa; Chordata; Actinopteri; Acipenseriformes; Polyodontidae. The record is from RefSeq and is a predicted model, not a curated record.
UUUGGCCUUUUGAAGUGACAACGAGCUAUUGUACUAGAAGACUGAAGAUCACUAUCUUACGACCACAGUCGUACAUUUAUUUUUACCACACAAAAAAACAGACCCUUAGUUAAUAGGAUCUUGGAAUUUUACUGUUGCACUUCCGAAUGGAAAAUAAACGGGAACACCUUAACUGUAAAGUCUGUUCUUGAUUCUCACAGUUGUCAGUAACACACGAUUUCAGACCGGAGGCGUGCAAUUUUUAUUUUUUUAUUUUCUUAUUUCAAUUGUACUGUAAUAUACAUUAGUAAUAGAUUUUUCAACUGUUAAAACAGCCAUUCUCAACUUGCUUUCUAAUGUAGAAUCUAGUGAAAUCCCCAGAUUCGUUCAGUGGUUAAGGGUAUCCCAUGAACUGGAUGAGUGCUGCACUGACAACGACAUUAUACUUAAAAGGAUUGCAGAAGACCAUAGGAGUUAUUUACCUGUGGAAGCAAUAGUGAAGUCAGAACCCAAAGCUACUCAGAAGAUGGCGGUAAAGCAGAAACUCUGGGAUCCAAAAAAAAGCAGGAUGUUGAGGACAUGGGAGCCUAACUGUCUGACUGGGCAUGGCAAUGUAUGAGUCAACAUAUAAGAAAGAAACGCGCCUUACUGCUAACUGUGCCACGCCUUCAAGAAUCAAUUGAGCAACUUCAUUUUCUGUACAGCUUAAUCAAUGGGUGGAAGAAGUUCCCCUUGACCGUGAAGUAUAUCUGGGGCAGGACACUGAUGCAGAUGUACUGAAGCAGGUCCAUCUCAACAGAAUACUUUAACUUAUCAAGGACAACAACUAUACCAAACUACUAGUGUCACAAUUCAGAAAGAAGGUGGUAAAACUCCUGCUGAAGAAAAUAAGCCAGGCUCUUUUGUAUACUAGUUAAGCCUGUGGAUCUGGUUCCCAAACCCAUGUCUGCUUAAAGAAAUCUGAUAGCCAUCAUCUUUAACAAAUUGUGAGUUAAAGCUGUUUGAAAAGGACAGGCAAAAGGACACAUGCUUACUAACACCUACUUUUUAUCCAGAAUACAAUUUGAUUGAUUUAGAACAAAAAAAAAAAACAUUUUGUAUGUUGAAUAAUAUCUAAAUUGGACAGAAAAAUCAAGAUACUUGUGCUGAAAAAAUAUCUUGCCAUUUCGUCUUGCAUCAGCUGUGUAGUUUAUAUUCCUAUGACAGUGGGUCUAGAAUGUGGUUUUCUGCCUUCGUCACCCCUCCCUCAGACCCACGUCAGCUUUGGUCAUAAGGGUAGGAAGGUGGGGGGGGGGGCAGAUCCAGCUAGGGAGGAUAUGGCUUCCUGCGCAUUUAUAUUUCAAGCCUCCUUCAGAUCCUUCAAAUUAGAUGACAUGUUGCACUCUUCAAAAUUGGUGAUCUUUAAGUUAAUGGAACGUGUGUGUAGUUUUAAUCACGUACUGAAUCUUCAGAAUAAUGGAAAGGAAAGUACACUACUCACCAACAAUUAUAGUGACACAGGGCAGUAUUACUGUAAUGCUUACUGUAUGUGUAUGUUUUCAAGUAAAUCCCACACCAAACUUGUUCCUAAAAAUUGUAAUAUUCCACCCUAGCCAUGUAAUUAAGCAUCCCUAUAAAGGGAGCUUGUAUGAGUUUGUACAAAUAUCUCAUAAACUAUUAAAGCUGGCAACUUCAAACCAUUUGAACUGGUGACUUCAUAUUUUCAAGGUUAUAUAAACCUGUUAUGCUAAAUGUGUUGCUGACCUUGAAAUUGACCUCUGACCUAAUAUGGCUGCCAUGUGACUUUUGAAUAUGUGUUACACAGCUUUAUUUGGUUUUCUUUCUUGGGUUUUCUUACAUUACCAGUGUUGUCCCAUAAAUAUUAGGUCUUUCACUGAGGUAUUGCCUAACU